GGGGAAUUUUCCGCAAUGGGCGAAAGCCUGACGGAGCAACGCCGCGUGAGGGAGGAAUGUCUGUGGAUUGUAAACCUCUUUUCUCUGGGAAGAAGAUCUGACGGUACCAGAGGAAUCAGCAUCGGCUAACUCCGUGCCAGCAGCCGCGGUAAGACGGAGGAUGCAAGCGUUAUCCGGAAUUAUUGGGCGUAAAGCGUCCGUAGGCGGUUAGAUAAGUCAGUUGUUAAAGACUGCAGCUCAACUGUGGGAGAGCAACUGAAACUGAUUGACUAGAGUAUGGUAGGGGUAGAGGGAAUUCCUAGUGUAGCGGUGAAAUGCGUAGAUAUUAGGAAGAACACCAGUGGCGAAGGCGCUCUACUGGGCCAUAACUGACGCUGAUGGACGAAAGCUAGGG
This 394-nucleotide ribosomal RNA is filed under the name uncultured cyanobacterium. Its description in RNAcentral is "bacterial SSU rRNA". It matches the Rfam family "Bacterial small subunit ribosomal RNA", at positions 356 to 765 of the family's 1533-position model. Lineage: Bacteria; Bacillati; Cyanobacteriota. The record is from RNAcentral.